GACAUUCUCUGAAAUUUGCAUGAGCCU
Molecule: non-coding RNA, 27 nt
Filed under: Mus musculus (house mouse)
Lineage: Eukaryota; Metazoa; Chordata; Mammalia; Rodentia; Muridae
Source: RNAcentral